Molecule: small RNA, 125 nt
Filed under: Marmota monax (woodchuck)
Lineage: Eukaryota; Metazoa; Chordata; Mammalia; Rodentia; Sciuridae
Source: RNAcentral
GUCGGGCGCAGUGGCACAUGCCUGUCAUCCCAGCAGCUCGGGAGGCUGAGGCAGGAGGAUCACAGGUUCAAAGCCAGCCUCAGCAAUGGCAAGGCACUAAGCAACUCAGUGAGACCCUGUCUCUA